UACGAAGGGUGCAAACGUUGCUCGGAAUUAUUGGGCGUAAAGCGCACGUAGGCGGCUAUCUAAGUCGGAUGUGAAAUCCCUCGGCUUAACCAAGGAAGUGCACCCGAAACUGGAUAGCUUGAGUACAGAAGAGGAUCGCGGAAUUCCCGGUGUAGAGGUGAAAUUCGUAGAUAUCGGGAGGAACACCAGUGGCGAAGGCAGUGUUCUGGGCCAGUACUGACGCUGAGGAGCGAAAGCGUGGGUAGCAAACAGG
Molecule: ribosomal RNA, 253 nt
Filed under: uncultured bacterium
Lineage: Bacteria
Description: partial 16S ribosomal RNA
Rfam family: Bacterial small subunit ribosomal RNA
Source: RNAcentral